RNAcentral lists this small RNA (85 nucleotides) under Nonlabens sp. Hel1_33_55. RNAcentral describes it as "Flavo-1 RNA". It matches the Rfam family "Flavo-1 RNA". The record is from RNAcentral. Lineage: Bacteria; Pseudomonadati; Bacteroidota; Flavobacteriia; Flavobacteriales; Flavobacteriaceae.
UUCCAGCGUUAGGGAUUGAAGUGGAAAUCCUUUUGAUCUCGCCUUAUGCGUUAUCAAAAGAUUGCAACGGAAAGCCCGACCGAGG